Molecule: long non-coding RNA, 251 nt
Filed under: Gallus gallus (chicken)
Lineage: Eukaryota; Metazoa; Chordata; Aves; Galliformes; Phasianidae
Description: long non-coding RNA NONGGAT009351
Source: RNAcentral
UCAAUACUGGAGGGUGCUGCGGAGGGAACAUUGACAUAAGGGCAGGCAGCACUCAGCUCCCAGACCUGCACUGUGAUCCAUCUGUCCUGCAGAGAACUGGCUCUGCUUCUUACAAGUGCCACAUAACACCUGGAGGGCUAUGGUGGCAUUCACUCAAACCCCAUCUGGUCAAGGAAGAAAUGGCAUAUUCUCCUUAGUGCUGCUCUCUCCACACCUUUAUGUCAGACCACUUCUGUGCCAGGGUCUGCCAG